Molecule: ribosomal RNA, 309 nt
Filed under: uncultured Planctomycetota bacterium
Lineage: Bacteria; Pseudomonadati; Planctomycetota
Description: bacterial SSU rRNA
Rfam family: Bacterial small subunit ribosomal RNA
Source: RNAcentral
AAUGAACGUUGGCGGCGUGGAUUAGGCAUGCAAGUCGCGCGGAAAGGCCCCGCAAGGGGCACUCGAUCGGCGUAAGGGAUAGUAACGCGUGGAUUACCUACCCUCGGGGCUGGGAUAGCUGCGGGAAACUGCAAUUAAUACCAGAUGACGUCCCCGGACCAAAGGUGUAAUUCCCUCCGAGGAUGGGUCCGCGUCCUAUUAGCUAGUUGGUAGGGUAACGGCCUACCAAGGCAACGAUGGGUAGCGGGUGUGAGAGCACGACCCGCAUCACUGGGACUGAGACACUGCCCAGACACCUACGGGUGGCUG